UGUCUGUAGGUCCCCAGCCUCAACCUGAUUGCUCAGCCAGCCACUUCUUCCCCUCCAGAUCUCCCAUCCACCUCCAGGUAUCACACUGACAGACCUGACUUAAAAAAAAAAAAAAAAAAAGAAAUAAAGAAAGAAAGGAAGAAAGGGAAGAAGGUUUUUGGGCUUGGCAACAGAUUUCUCUAAAAUACCUAGAAAACUUCACUUACAUCUUACCUCCACUUACAUUACCGUGAGAAUUACAUGGCAUACCUCACCUUUAUUGCAAGAGAGUUUGGAAUGCUUAAAGAUGGUCAAAAUGGACUUAAAAAAAGAAAAUCAGAGAAAGAAAUAACUUCCAAUUGCCUGUUUGCAUGUAUUAGUAUGGAGAUUUGUCUUUUAACAUUUAGAGAAAAAAUUACAUGGAAAAAAAUGAGGUUACCUACAGAAAUGAUGUCGAACUUGAGAUGAUUUCACGGACUCAAGGACACCUUCAUUGGUCUUCCCAAAUUUGGAGUGCACUCUUAACCCUUUCUUUGACCACUUUCUCACACCUAAAGCUGUUUAAUAGGAGCAGCACUUUCAACUAUCAGAGGUGAGACUUAAAAUACAAACGCAACUGGGAGAAGUCUAUUAACUUACAGCCAUUCUACCCUACAAAAGAUAUUUCCCUUUCUUAGGUGAACAUCCUGAUGGAGGGCAACAAAAGUCAGGGGUGUGGGUUCUCCAAAAGGGGCAUGACAUGUAUGUUUUUACACUUUUUCUUUGACUCAACUAUUCUUGCUGUCUUGAACCCCCACUGUAGUCUACCACAAGAAAAGAGACCAAGGUCACUUUUUGUUUAAGGCUUAUAUUGUAACACAGGUAACAAAACAAACAAAUAAGUUUUAAAAGUGUGGCUUUUUCCAGAUAGUUUAGGUUAGACUCUCAAGAGAGACUCUCACUGGCUGGUUUGUGUCAUGUCCCAAUACUGAGCUCAUUAGAGUGGCCAGG
Molecule: long non-coding RNA, 969 nt
Organism: Pan paniscus (pygmy chimpanzee)
Lineage: Eukaryota; Metazoa; Chordata; Mammalia; Primates; Hominidae
Source: Ensembl